This 364-nucleotide unclassified non-coding RNA is filed under the name uncultured bacterium. RNAcentral describes it as "contains 16S-23S intergenic spacer region". The record is from RNAcentral.
UCCCGGUUGGCCCGGGCAGUCUUGUUUGAGAAAUACAACAAACAAUAAGGGUUGCGCUCGUUGCGGGACUUAACCCAACAUCUCACGACACGAGCUGACGACGGCCAUGCAGCAUCUGUCACUUGGUUCCCGAAGGCACAGCCUAAUUUCUUAGGCCUUCCAAGGAUGUCAAGCCUCGGUAAGGUUCUUCGCGUUGCGUCGGAUUAAACCACAUGCUCCACCGCUUGUGCGGGUCCCCGUCAAUUCCUUUGAGUUUUAAGCUUGCGCUCGUACUCCCCAGGCGGGAUGCUUAACGCGUUAGCUUCUCAGCCCAAGGGGUCGAUACCUCAGACUAAUAGCAUCCAUCGUUUACGGCGUGGACUAC